RNAcentral lists this ribosomal RNA (254 nucleotides) under uncultured bacterium. Its description in RNAcentral is "partial 16S ribosomal RNA". It matches the Rfam family "Bacterial small subunit ribosomal RNA", at positions 524 to 776 of the family's 1533-position model. The record is from RNAcentral.
UACGAAGGGGGCUAGCGUUGUUCGGAUUCACUGGGCGUAAAGGGCGCGUAGGCGGCCUCCGCAAGUCGACUGUGAAAUCUCCGGGCUUAACCCGGAAAGGUCAGCCGAUACUGCGGGGCUAGAGUGCAGAAGGGGCAACUGGAAUUCUCGGUGUAGCGGUGAAAUGCGUAGAUAUCGAGAGGAACACCUGCGGCGAAGGCGGGUUGCUGGGCUGACACUGACGCUGAAGCGCGAAAGCUAGGGGAGCGAACGGG